AAAGAAGUAAGUCAGUAAAAGAUGGAACAAAAAGGAACCCCCCAAAAGCAUAAGAUUAAAAAGCAUAAAAUAAAACCAUGCAAUGGACCAAAUAUAGUGUUAUGAGAGUAACUAUGAGCAGCUUAAAUUCCUUGAUCAAAAGAUUUAUCUAUUUAUUUGGGAGAGAGAAAGAAAAAAGAGAAAGAAAGAAAGAAGAAAGAAGAAAGAAAGAAAGGAAGAAAGAAAGAAAGAAAGAAAGAAAGAAAGAAAGAAAGAAAGAAAGAAAAGAAAAAGAAAAGUGCGAGUGGGGGGAGGGGAGGGCAGAGGGAGAGAGUUUCAAGCAAAGUCCUUGCUGAGCACGGAGCUCAUCCCAGAACUUAAUCUCAUGACCCAUGAGAUCAUGGCCUGAUCUAAAACCAACAGUUGAUGCUUAACCAACUGGCCCAUCCAGGCACCCCUAAAAUGCUAAUUUUUAAGUAUCUUUGCAUUUAGAGGACAUACAGAUUUUCAAUCUGGUGACACAAAAUAUAUUUAAAUAAUACAGAUUUUAUAAAUUAAUGCACAAUGCAUUUUUUCCUACUAUUCUUUAAUUUUUCCUGUCUUCUUACUUAACAGUUUUUAAUGGGUUAUGUUUUGGAUGAGUAGCAGACUCAGGAGAGACACCAUUUGAGGCAAACUGCUUUAAAGCUUUUUAGCAUUACCCUGAGGAAAUCACAAAAGUCACAAUGAUAUCAAGUAUUAAAUCUAGAUUAGUACUUGGCUGUGGGUUUAUGUUGGGCUAUAUUUUUUAAGUGGAAUAUGUUCUUCCUCCUUGCUUAAUGAAAAAUUUUUACGGUAUCCUGAGUACCAAUUCUAAAUAGAAGCUUAAAUUAAAAAGAAAAAAAAAUUAGUUAAGAAUAACUGAAAUCAGUAUCAUUAUUUUAUUUUACUUAACUAAAAACAGUUAAAUUUUAAUUAAUAUCAUAUUUUGGAAAGAUAAGCAUUAAAUUCUAAUGAAACCGUGUACAUGUGUAUAAUUACUAUUCAAAUUUGCACACAACUACUGGUAAAAUCGCUGUAAUUGUGUUUGCACAUGUGGCUGAAAUAGCUCAAUGCCUAAUAAAAGGCCAUUUUCACAAUUUAAAAAAUGUUUU
Molecule: long non-coding RNA, 1112 nt
Filed under: Vulpes vulpes (red fox)
Lineage: Eukaryota; Metazoa; Chordata; Mammalia; Carnivora; Canidae
Description: lncRNA (ENSVVUG00000005719.1)
Source: RNAcentral